Gallus gallus (chicken) is the source of this 7254-nucleotide long non-coding RNA. RefSeq lists it as uncharacterized. The transcript has 5 exons. The record is from RefSeq and is a predicted model, not a curated record. Lineage: Eukaryota; Metazoa; Chordata; Aves; Galliformes; Phasianidae.
ACCGGGAGGGGAGGUGAUGGAAGCAGCAGCAACACUUCGACACCACCCAGCUUGUCCCCGCCGAGCACAGGUUGUCCCGAGACGACCGGGGAUGGGCACCGGCACCCAGCACCUCACCCCGAGCCGCGCCCGGUGCUGGUGCAGCGGAGGUAUUGCUGAGGGGCGCCGGGCAGAGAGAGGGAGAGAGAGGAACGAUGCAGCUGUGAGCUGGGGAGGGGUGGGGGGUGUCGCUAGAGAAGUGAUAGAAGAACUAACCUGCCGCAGGGAUCGUGAUGGGAGGCAGCAGCAGCUGAUGGAGUAGCAAGGCUGGCAGGAGUUGGGUAGCCCACAUGGUGCUGGCGGCCCCCCCGGCGGCUAGCGGGGAGGAGAUGGCUCCUCGGAAGGACCCUGCGCACAGCCGGUCACUAAAGGAGUCAGAGCGAACCGAGCUGCUUUUUAUUGCGAUGAUCUAAGUUUGUUGUGUGAUUAACUGGAAAGAUCUGGGUCCCAACUCCCUCUUACGGUAGAAAGUUUAUCUCCUUCCUGAUUAUAAGCUCCAUUUAAGUACUGGAAGGCUGCACUGAGGUCUCCCCCGGGUCUUCUCCAUACUGAACAAGCCGAGCUCCCUCAACCUUUAUUCAUCAGAGAAGUCUUCCAGCCCUCUGAUCACCUGCGUGGUCCUCCUUUGGACACACUCCAACAUCUCUGCAUCCCUCCAGUGCUGGGGCCCCCAGACCUGGACACAGUAUUCCAAGUGAGACCUCACAAGGACAGAGCAGAGGGAGACAAUCAGUUUCCUCACCCUGCUGGCCACCCUUCAUUUAAUGCAGCCCAUGAUACAGUUGGCCUUCCAGGCUGCGAGUGGACACUGCUGUCAAGCACACUUGUGUCAAGCUUUUCAUCUGCCAGUUUCAUCGAUGGCUGUUCCAGCAGGACUCCUCCUGCCCCAGGGCCAGGGAUAAAGCAAGACCGUUUACCGGUUAGGAAACUCACCUUUCCUCCUGUGACUCCCCUUGGCCAUCGGCCUGGCCUUUCCAUCACCCUCUUUGGCCAUCUGACAAGUGCCACUUCCCCAAAAUUGUGGCAACUCAGGAGAAUCUAAAGGUCAAGUAUCAGCUGUCUGGUGUUCUGUGGAGACAAACCUCAGUCCAUAGCAAGGCUCGUCCUUUCUUCCAUCGCAGACAAAAUGACUGUAAUUCUUCUAUUGCACUUCAUUUUAACUUCAUGGAAGCAAUGGCACUGGUGUUUGUUUAAAGUCAUGAGGCUGGCCUUCCGACAUGUGGGUGUACAAAAAUAAACACUUCAGGAAAAGUUUUGCCUUAAUUUAAACCAUUUCUUUAUCCCAUGCACCCACCUACUGUCUAUAGCACAAGUAUGUAACAACACAGACAGCAGGGAAAUGUUCCUCUCAAAUUUCCACAAAUAAAUCAGAGCCUUGCAUGUGGACCCUUGCCAUAUGGGUCAUAAAUGGGUCUCCUUCUACAAACCAGUUUCCCUUGCCCAGCUUUACUACCCAAACUGCUGAUAAGCAGCUUUUCUUAACAGUGGGGAUGUUUUUGAAGUAAAAAAUAUAUUCAGUUUUUUCUUUAUUCCCCAAAAAUACAUAUAUAAGUAUAUGUGCUUUUAUAUCUAUAUAUGUACAUAUGUAUGUAUGUAUUUAUAUUCACGCUUCUUUCUUUUCAUCCUAUUUAUGCCCAAUGGCAAAACAAAAAUUUCCCAUUUGAGAAGUGCUGUCUUGGUAAGAAAAAGAAAGGGGACAGUAAGGAGUUGAGAGAGUCUGAAGAAAAUAUUUUGAACAUUUGGUGUUAUGGGAAAAACAUAUCUAUGUAAAAAAAAAAAAAAAGGAAGAAAAAACCUUUCUGAAAUGUGAAGAAUGAAAAUUAUUUCUAGAGGGUUUUUUUUUUUUUUUUUUCCUAGAGACUGUUCUUGUUUUUCUCCAAAGAAUAAUCCUUUACUUGUUGGAGUCCCUUAGAGAUGCACAACCUGUGAAUAUAGGAGUUGUAUUCCCAGUGCCGCUGACCUUGUGUGGAAUCCUUGUCCACUGCAAAUAAUGGAAUAUGGAUAUCUCAGUUUCUGUUUUUCUUCUUGUGCUUUAAGAUGGACAUAAAUAUAAACAAUAAGAAAAAAAAAACCAUAGCACCAUGCUGAGCCCAAAAUAUCCAUAUUCUGUUAACCAAAUAUAUCUGACUUGUCCAUGCAUAUGAUGAGUGACCUUUUUUUGUAUAAAGCACAGAAUCAUGCACCAUUAAAAUCAAGUAGAUUUUUUGCCGCUGACUUUCCUAAGGGGGACUAUUUGGCCUGUAGUCAAAUUUCUCCUGAACUGAAGGAGGGUUUCUGCUGUCUCUCAUGAAGACUAGGAUGCUCCCUAAUGGAUAAAAUAUUUAUCUGUAUGGAUUCCUAUUAUCAAUACACAGUCCUGUAUACUGCCUGAGAGUUAAAGUCAUGGGCAUAGAUCUUUUAGCCAUAGUCCUGAUUCUCUAUUUGUCCAGUUUUGGGAACCUGCUGGACGUCAUCUAUACCUUUUACAUAAUCCUUGCAUAUUUUCCUUUGGUGAAAACUAGUGUAUUCAGAGUGGAAGGCCAGAGAAUGAAGAGAGAUUAGAAAUGAAAAGAUCCUAUAGGUACUACAUUCAGAUGCUACAUUCAUAAGCAGUCAAGGGAAAGGUUUGCAUCUGGAUCUGGGAAUUGAAAAUGCUCUUUGGUCCUGCAUCGUAUACAGCAAAAUGUAGAAUAAUCCUUUUUCUGUGUCUUCUUGCCCUGUACAUUUUACAACUGAAACAUAAUAUUUUAGUUCAGCUCAGUGAAAUUAUACCUUGAAAUGAAAUUCAGUAUGAAGAAAGUCUGCAAAUGUCACGUUUCAUUCUUAGCCUUUCUAAAAGGAAUUCCAUGUCAGGACUUAGCUUGCACAUAGAGAAACUAAAGAGCUAAAUAUUGUAAACAAAGUUGUAGGUUUUAUGUGAGAAUAUUCUGUUAUGUGUCAUGGUUAUAUCUAAAAAAUAUCUAACUAUAUCUAAAAAGAAAAGAGUUACUGUAUAUUUUACCAAAGAUAUAUUGGCUCUGGAUUGCCUACAUUAAUAAGUUUGAAAAAGUUUUAUUUUGGUUGGAAAAGUAAGCAGACAUGACCAAAUACAUAGAAAUUGCUAUUUUUAUAUUUUGUUUUCUGACCAUAACCACAGUUGGAUCUUUUUUUCAGAUGUAACUUGCUACCCAGAAAUGCUAGAUAUUCACAGUUUUGGCAGGAAUCGUCACACGCAAAGAGUAGUACCAAGUCUAAAUUAGCUUUAAAGGAGAGCUUUUCUAAAUGAACUAGUAUCUGUCAUGUGAAUCCAUACUGUGUUCAAAAUAAACCUUUCUACUUUGUAAUAAUUUCUAUGCUAAGGUUCCUAAGGAUGUAUGCUAAGGAUAAGGUUCCUAAGGAAGUAUGCUAAGGAUAAUAAAACCAACAAAAUAAGCGAGCGUGCAUAGUGAUUAUUCAACACUGAGUUGAUUGAUGAAAAAGAUUCAAGCUACUUGAAGAGCAUAAAUCAAAAAAAUUAUGCUUCAUUUUAUAAGCAGCAGCUUUUUUUUUACUGUCCUGAAAGAAAAACCUGAGCUUGAGACUAGGAAAGGAAAAGACAAAAGUAUGGACUGGGAGAUUUAAUGCUGCUUAGAAAGGCAGAUUUAAACAGAAUUUAACCCUGCUAAGGCACUGAGGCAGAGACCAGCUGGUCUCAUGGCACCUUCCAGCUCAUCAGGCAGGUAAAAAAAAAAAAAAAGGUAAAUGGAGAGAGGGAUGGGAAUUGAAAAGAAAAAGAAAAAGAAGCGGAUAACAAGAUCCCAGCACAGGGAUUAGUAUGUGUAGUUAAAUGUCAAAGCUCAGCUGCCCCCUGAGUCCAACAUUUUGGAUUCAGCCAAAAGAAUUUUGCAUGUCAUCAUAUUAAAUGCUGCUGAUCUGAAUUCCUGGUCCCAGAAGGCAAAUUCACCCCACCAGUCAAGUACUUACACCCCCAUGCAGUGAAGCAGGAGAGUUUGACAUCUCAGAUGAGGCUUCUUGCUGAUGAUUACCCACCAGGGAGACUCCAGGAUGAUGACAAGAGCUACACCUCCCUCUGAGAUGUAGGUACUAAUCUACAUGGCAUUCACAGAUAAAAUCCCACAUGGGUUUAGUAGUCUAAACUAUCCAGCUUUAAAAAGCUUCUUUUCCCUCCCGCUUGUGUCAUAGUUUAUGAACAAAAAUUAGUCAGAGACUAUUACCUGGUGUUAUAGGCACAGCGUUUGGCUUAAACCUUUACAGACGCACUUUACUCAAAAGCAGGCUUUUGUAAACAGUCUUCACACCUCAACUGAGCACUUUCAUGGUACAAUCCAUGAAAAAUCAUACAAGAUAUAUGUAAAAAUGUCUAGGUUAUCACAUUAUACACAAAUAUAUGCUCCUGGGGUAUGAAAUGUAUAGUUUUGAAGUCACUGAGGUUAAAAAGGAACAUCAGCAGCAAAGUGACCUGGUUGUGUUUCUUUCCGUAUGUUCUUUUCACAUAUGUUCAUAAUAUUCCAACAUAUAUAAUUCAUAACUGCCCAUAUGCAAACUCUCAGGCACUCAGGUCUGAAUCCUAAACCCUAGUCGGGUAAUUCAGUGUCCACUCCUGCACUCAUUUAGUAGCAUAAAUAUUUUAUGGCUUUCCUGUGUAAAUCACACUGUAACUGUUCUUUACAUAUAUGUUAUAUGUUAAAGAUAAAAUGUCUAAAAAAACAGCUUUUAAGUUGCAGUAUGAAAGAUAUGUAAGCCAUUUAUGGCAUGGUGCCAAACAGCAGCUGAUGCCAAAUGAAUCCUUCUAGAUUAGUUUGGAAAAAACUACUUUCAGUAUUUUGGAAAAACAAAGCAAAACAAAACAAAAAUACCUGUGUAUAUGUAUAUAUAUAUUAUGUAUACCAAGUUGAUUUUAGUAGGAACUAUCUGAUCAAAAUUUAUCAGAUAAAAAUCAGAUAUUUUAACACCUAAAUGCUUUAUUUACAUAGACCUAAGUCUUUCAAGCUAUUUUCAUGCAAAGAUGAUUCUUUUCAGAAAAAUUCCCUGUAAUAUCCAAGGAAAGAUUCUUGCAGUGUGCUGUAUUGUGGUUAAAUAUUCUUAGGACCUGACCUUUCUACUCUAGAAUUCAAAAAAAAACCACCUUCACUCUACUCAUAAGAAAUGUUCCACGUAUGUACUCAGAGUAUAUGGGUUAGGAAAGUUACACUUUUUGUUCAUUUAUUUUGUUUGUUUAUUUGUUUCCAAAUUGAUCAGUUUCUGCAGUGCCAAAAAUUCUAUCACGGGUAAAUGCCAUUGGCAGUUCUAAUGUACUUUGCCUAUAUUAAUCAAGGCCGAAUGUGUUCCUCAAAAACUUUACAAUAGAUUUUUAUUGUUGUUUUUCAAGAAUGUAAGAAAAAAUUUAACCUCUUUUUGACCUUUUUUUCAGCUAAAAUGAAGUUGUGGUACUGGCUGCUGGAAAAACAAACAGAAGCUGAAUACAUUCAUUAUGAGGCAACAACCCCAGAAGCCCUUAAUUUACAUACCAUAGUUACUGAAUUACUUCUCAGAGGAUAGUAGUUCUCCAUAUUAUUUAACUCGUCAAGUGAAAUCUGAGCAUGGAUGAUUAGCUUUCAACUACACAUUCAACAGAAUUGAUAAAUGAUGGCGUAAAUUCUUGCCUUACUGCAUUCUCCUGCCAGACACUCAAGUGACUACUGAAAUAUGAAGUUACAACAGAACCAGAGAAAAUACUUUGUCGAAGUGCAAUAGAUUCUGAAAGAAUUUUUUUCAAGAGUUCUGUUGCAGGAAAGUUGAAAGAUUGAGGCUAACAGUGGAGACCAUACAGGCCACAGAGCUCACAUCUGAAGGCAUCACAGAGAACAAGAGGGACACAUCAGGAUUAUUACCCCUAGUAUGUCUUAUAUAAACUCCAUAUCAUUCUUCAGGACAAAAAGAAGAAAUUGUUGUAUCUGCAAAGUUUUCUAAAUUUUACAUGUAGCCAUUCUGUUCUACAUAGAAACUUCAUAGCUCUGGAAAACCAUGUAAAAGUCUGUUUGGCAUCCUAAUUCACAUGAACGUUCAUUCCACUGUGUUUUGGAAAAGAUAUAAUAGGUCUUUGCCCUAGACUUCAGUCUUCUUCAAUAAUAUAAAAUAAUUGUUGUUCUGUGUGGAACAUUUGAAAAUGUAAUAAAACACAUUCAAAUAAUACAUACUUUAGUUACAGUAUGUUGUUAUUUGUUUUAAAUGUUUAUUGUUUCUCAUCAGAAUUGCAGUUCCCUUAUACUGAAAAUCAUAGAAUCAUAGAAUGGCUUAGGUUAGAGGGGAUGUUAAACAUCAUCUAGUUCCAACCCACCUGCCAUGGACAGGGUUGCUACCCACUAGAUCAGGGCAUCCACAACCUCUCUACGCAACCUGCUCCAGCACCUCAGCACCCUCUGAGGAAAAAGUUUCUUCCUAAAAUCUUAAUCUAUAUCUCCCCUCUUUUAGUUUAAGGCCUUUCCCUCUUUUUCUGUCACUACCAGACCCCUCCUGCUUGUAAGCUCCCUUCAGGUACUGGAAGGCCGCAGUGAGGUCACCCUGGAGCCUUCUCCAAGACGAAUAAGCCCAACUUGAACUUUUCUUCACAGGAGAGAUGCUUCAGCCCUUUGAUGGUCUUCAUAGCCUUCUUGUAGACCCACUCCAACAGCUCUGCAUCCUUUCUGUACUGGGGGCCCCAGGCUUUGAUGCAGUGUUUUGUAGCUGAGAAUUUGCUCUACCAAACUGACUUAUUGUACUUUUUGUAUGUGUUGUAGUUUCCAUGGAAAGAAAUAACGGGCAUUAAGAGCAACCUAUGUAUUUCUAGAGCUAGAAAUAGGAAUGCCAUGGCAUUCCUACAUUUUUUUCAGACAAUUAAAUUUUCUGAGAUUAAAACUAUUAGGCACAGCAUCUCACUAGUACAGGUUUAUCCCUUCAGAAGCUGAAGACUGUACCUCAGAAUUGUCCUAUUCUGUUAUAUGAAUGCCACAGCAUGAUUAGAAGUGGCUAAGAGAAUAUUUAUAAUUUAGAUAUCAUGCAAAAUUUGUUUAAGUAGCACAGUCAGCCAAAUCUGGGUUAUUGAUUCCUUUUAGGGGACUAGUUUCCUAAAUCUAAAAAAAACAUACAGUCUUUGCCUUUUACAUGCUUUGUUGAAUUUAUUACUGCUGAUGACAUCAGAGAGAAGUUCCAAAGUGGAGAUUUGAAACACUCAUAUGAUUGAAAUGUUAUUUUGAAUGCAUUGAAUUUUCAGAACAUCAAUAAAUUCUCUCUUGAAACAUA